Molecule: ribosomal RNA, 300 nt
Filed under: uncultured Roseomonas sp.
Lineage: Bacteria; Pseudomonadati; Pseudomonadota; Alphaproteobacteria; Acetobacterales; Roseomonadaceae
Description: bacterial SSU rRNA
Rfam family: Bacterial small subunit ribosomal RNA
Source: RNAcentral
CUGCAGUCGGGCCAGCAGCCGCGGGAUGACGUAGGGGUGGAGCGGUUUCCGGAGUCAGUGAGAGUUGAUAUCUCGUAGGCGGGUCAGUAAGUCGGUGGUGCAAGCGCCGAGCUCAACUCGGAGAGUCCACCCGAGACUGCUUGGACUAGAAGCCAGGAAGGGAGUGUGGAACUCCUGGUGUAGCGGGGAAAUGCGCAGAGAUCAGGAAGAACACCAGCGGCGAAGGCGGCACUCUGGGCUGGUAUUGACGCUGAGGAGCGAAAGUGUGGGUAGCAAACAGGAUUAGAUACCCCUGUAGUC